Molecule: ribosomal RNA, 1476 nt
Filed under: metagenome
Description: bacterial SSU rRNA
Rfam family: Bacterial small subunit ribosomal RNA
Source: RNAcentral
GAGUUUGAUCAUGGCUCAGAUUGAACGCUGGCGGCAGGCCUAACGCAUGCAAGUCGAGCGCGAAAGGCUUUCGGGCUGAGUAGAGCGGCGGACGGGUGAGUAACGCGUAGGAAUCUACCUGGUAGUGGGGGACAACUUGGGGAAACUCAAGCUAAUACCGCAUACGCCCUAAGGGGGAAAGCGGGGGACCUUCGGGCCUCGCGCUAUCAGAUGAGCCUGCGUAGGAUUAGCUUGUUGGUGAGGUAAAGGCUCACCAAGGCGACGAUCCUUAGCUGGUCUGAGAGGAUGAUCAGCCACACUGGGACUGAGACACGGCCCAGACUCCUACGGGAGGCAGCAGUGGGGAAUAUUGCGCAAUGGGGGCAACCCUGACGCAGCCAUGCCGCGUGUGUGAAGAAGGCCUUCGGGUUGUAAAGCACUUUCAAUGGGGAAGAAAAGCGGGUCGUUAAUAGCGGUCCGCCCUGACAUUACCUUUAGAAGAAGCACCGGCUAACUCCGUGCCAGCAGCCGCGGUAAUACGGAGGGUGCGAGCGUUAAUCGGAAUUACUGGGCGUAAAGCGCGCGUAGGUGGUUUGUUGAGUCAGCUGUGAAAGCCCCGGGCUCAACCUGGGAACUGCAGUUGAUACUGGCCGACUAGAGUACGAGAGAGGGAGGUAGAAUUCCAUGUGUAGCGGUGAAAUGCGUAUAUAUGGAGGAAUACCGGUGGCGAAGGCGGCCUCCUGGCUCGAUACUGACGCUGAGGUGCGAAAGCGUGGGGAUCAAACAGGAUUAGAUACCCUGGUAGUCCACGCCGUAAACGAUGUCUACUAGCCGUUGGGAGACUUGAUUUCUUAGUGGCGCAGCUAACGCAAUAAGUAGACCGCCUGGGGAGUACGGCCGCAAGGUUAAAACUCAAAUGAAUUGACGGGGGCCCGCACAAGCGGUGGAGCAUGUGGUUUAAUUCGAUGCAACGCGAAGAACCUUACCAGGUCUUGACAUCCUCGGAACUUUCCAGAGAUGGAUUGGUGCCUUCGGGAACCGAGAGACAGGUGCUGCAUGGCUGUCGUCAGCUCGUGUCGUGAGAUGUUGGGUUAAGUCCCGUAACGAGCGCAACCCCUGUCCUUAGUUGCCAGCACGUAAUGGUGGGAACUCUAAGGAGACUGCCGGUGACAAACCGGAGGAAGGUGGGGACGACGUCAAGUCAUCAUGGCCCUUACGACCUGGGCUACACACGUGCUACAAUGGAACGCACAGAGGGCAGCAAAAGCGCGAGCUGGAGCCAAUCCCACAAAACGUUUCGUAGUCCGGAUCGGAGUCUGCAACUCGACUCCGUGAAGUCGGAAUCGCUAGUAAUCGUGGAUCAGAAUGCCACGGUGAAUACGUUCCCGGGCCUUGUACACACCGCCCGUCACACCAUGGGAGUGGGUUGCUCCAGAAGUGGUUAGCCUAACCUUCGGGGGGGCGAUCACCACGGAGUGAUUCAUGACUGGGGUGAAG